AAAUUAAAAUGUUUGAACAGUUGGAUUUCAAACAUUUUGAUUUUGUGGAGUGGUGCUUACCAAAGUGGUACAGCCCUAAGCAAGUGAAC
Molecule: small RNA, 89 nt
Filed under: Marmota monax (woodchuck)
Lineage: Eukaryota; Metazoa; Chordata; Mammalia; Rodentia; Sciuridae
Source: RNAcentral